ACUCCUGCGGGAGGCAGCAGUGGGGAAUAUUGCACAAUGGGCGCAAGCCUGAUGCAGCCAUGCCGCGUGUAUGAAGAAGGCCUUCGGGUUGUAAAGUACUUUCAGCGGGGAGGAAGGCGAUAAGGUUAAUAACCUUGUCGAUUGACGUUACCCGCAGAAGAAGCACCGGCUAACUCCGUGCCAGCAGCCGCGGUAAUACGGAGGGUGCAAGCGUUAAUCGGAAUUACUGGGCGUAAAGCGCACGCAGGCGGUCUGUCAAGUCGGAUGUGAAAUCCCCGGGCUCAACCUGGGAACUGCAUUCGAAACUGGCAGGCUAGAGUCUUGUAGAGGGGGGUAGAAUUCCAGGUGUAGCGGUGAAAUGCGUAGAGAUCUGGAGGAAUACCGGUGGCGAAGGCGGCCCCCUGGACAAAGACUGACGCUCAGGUGCGAAAGCGUGGGGAGCAAACAGGAUUAGAUACCCGUGUAGUCC
RNAcentral lists this ribosomal RNA (469 nucleotides) under uncultured organism. Its description in RNAcentral is "partial 16S ribosomal RNA". It matches the Rfam family "Bacterial small subunit ribosomal RNA", at positions 335 to 796 of the family's 1533-position model. The record is from RNAcentral.